This 490-nucleotide small RNA is filed under the name Pongo abelii (Sumatran orangutan). RNAcentral's name for it is "retained intron". Lineage: Eukaryota; Metazoa; Chordata; Mammalia; Primates; Hominidae. The record is from RNAcentral.
GGACUUGGUCUGGCUCCCAAUAGAGCAGUACCGGAAGGAUGGCCGCAUUGUCAGAGGGUUUCAGAGAGGCGCUGCUUCCUUUGGUACCUCGACAGCGAUGGCUGCUCUAGAACUCACAAACAGAAUGGUUCAAACCAUACAGGCAGCUGCAGAGACUGCUUAUGAUAUGGUGUCUCCUGGUACCCUUUCUAUCGAGCCCAAGAAGACCAAAAGGUUUCCUCAUUACCGGUUAGCCCACCAGCCAGUAGACCUGAGGGAAGGUGUGGCCAAGGCCUACAGUGUUGUGAAAGAGGUAAUUGAAUACUUGGGUGGACACAUCAGAACCCUUCUGUGUGCUUUCCCAACUUUCACCUAAAGAGCAUUUAAUGGCUUAAAUUUAUUCUGUAGAAAUCCCUGGGAGCAGAAUGGCAACUGCCGCUAAUAACGUGCCCAUAUUUGUGUGAGGUGACGGAAAAGGGCCAGUCUGGGACCAAUAGGCUGACAGGAAGAC